AGUUACCGAUGAAUUCAUCAGAAGGAACGCGAAAGGCAACUGAAACUACAAGUAGCCUACCAUCAAUUCUUUGAUUAAAAUCGCCGUUCUGCUGAAUGCUUUAUCCUGUUGAUGCAGUUCAUAUUCUAUUGGUAAUCUGGAGUUUUUAAUAAUGUUGGUAGAUCACUAACCCCAGCGUGGACAACACAUGUUGUUUUUUCAUGUUUUCUACAAAUAAUGCAUUGACACUUGACAGACAAACCAUGGGUAAUCUUCAGGUUAAUUGCAGCAACUUGGGACUUGGGAGAAGUCCUGUGAAAAGACACAGGGCACAUGACCAGAUUUGUGUUUUUCUGAAUGUUCUAUUCAACUAGUAGUUAGUUGGAACCCUAACUCAAACACAGACAACACAUUGCUGCUGCCUUACGGCCACAGGCAGGAAAAUGAUUCUUUUCUUCAGAAAAUUGGAAAGCUGUUUGAGUAAUCUGUUAUUCAUCCUCACUUGAUUCAUUUCGUGCCAGUUAGUGAAAGGCGUGAAGAAUUCAAGUUUAGCUGCUGCGUGCUGUCAGCAAGCAAGCAAUCCAAUUGAUGUCCACCAGGUGGCGCGAGUGUCCUCAAGGCCCCGGUUCGGCCAUUUUGUUCCUUGACGUAGCAGAAGUGAGAUGCCGGUCGUGACGUUUCCCAAAAUGAAAAGGUGAUUGAUCUUACCACUUUGCCAUCGGAAUUGAAAAUGCCUGUACAUUUGCCGAAAUGUCGUGCCUCGUGUGUCUCGCUGCCUGUACCCAGUCGUACGUCUCAUCCCAUGCAACAGCAAAAGUCUAACAACCACGCUGCAGCCAGAUGGUGAAAGGUGUGAUGAAGAAAAGUUCAACCGUUGUAUGCAGGAUGUGGUGCUAGUGUUAUCCAGAAGUAGCUGUGUUGGAGUUAUUCCGAAGCAGCUGAGCCAGAAUUUGUCCAAAUUGCUGACUUCAAAAUUUUAACUGCUUUCAUUUGUAUUUUUUGCUUUGCAAGUGGUAUCCGUGGUGCUCGAUUUGAAAUAUUUUUAUCCCAAUUUAUUUGUGGUUUUGCUCUGCCAGUGAGUUGCUGACUUGAAUUGGUUUCAUAUCUUGUCUUUUUUCCGUUUUACUUGGGCAGUAUACGACUGUGGCAAACUGAUUCUAUGUCAGUUUUGAUACAGUCGACAA
This 1163-nucleotide long non-coding RNA is filed under the name Daphnia pulex (common water flea). Its description in RNAcentral is "uncharacterized LOC124207407, transcript variant X5". The record is from RNAcentral. Lineage: Eukaryota; Metazoa; Arthropoda; Branchiopoda; Diplostraca; Daphniidae.